This 254-nucleotide ribosomal RNA is filed under the name uncultured bacterium. RNAcentral's name for it is "partial 16S ribosomal RNA". It matches the Rfam family "Bacterial small subunit ribosomal RNA", at positions 79 to 334 of the family's 1533-position model. The record is from RNAcentral.
CUUUCUUUGCUGGCGACCGGCGCACGGGUGAGUAACACGUAUCCAACCUGCUCUUUACUCGGGGAUAGCCUUUCGAAAGAAAGAUUAAUACCCGAUAGUAUAAUGAUUCCGCAUGGUUUCAUUAUUAAAGGAUUCCGGUAAAGGAUGGGGAUGCGUUCCAUUAGGUUGUUGGUGAGGUAACGGCUCACCAAGCCUUCGAUGGAUAGGGGUUCUGAGAGGAAGGUCCCCCACAUUGGAACUGAGACACGGUCCAA